RNAcentral lists this ribosomal RNA (2866 nucleotides) under Escherichia coli 3-073-06_S3_C1. RNAcentral's name for it is "bacterial LSU rRNA". It matches the Rfam family "Bacterial large subunit ribosomal RNA". The record is from RNAcentral. Lineage: Bacteria; Pseudomonadati; Pseudomonadota; Gammaproteobacteria; Enterobacterales; Enterobacteriaceae.
AGUCAGAGGCGAUGAAGGACGUGCUAAUCUGCGAUAAGCGUCGGUAAGGUGAUAUGAACCGUUAUAACCGGCGAUUUCCGAAUGGGGAAACCCAGUGUGUUUCGACACACUAUCAUUAACUGAAUCCAUAGGUUAAUGAGGCGAACCGGGGGAACUGAAACAUCUAAGUACCCCGAGGAAAAGAAAUCAACCGAGAUUCCCCCAGUAGCGGCGAGCGAACGGGGAGCAGCCCAGAGCCUGAAUCAGUGUGUGUGUUAGUGGAAGCGUCUGGAAAGGCGCGCGAUACAGGGUGACAGCCCCGUACACAAAAAUGCACAUGCUGUGAGCUCGAUGAGUAGGGCGGGACACGUGGUAUCCUGUCUGAAUAUGGGGGGACCAUCCUCCAAGGCUAAAUACUCCUGACUGACCGAUAGUGAACCAGUACCGUGAGGGAAAGGCGAAAAGAACCCCGGCGAGGGGAGUGAAAAAGAACCUGAAACCGUGUACGUACAAGCAGUGGGAGCACGCUUAGGCGUGUGACUGCGUACCUUUUGUAUAAUGGGUCAGCGACUUAUAUUCUGUAGCAAGGUUAACCGAAUAGGGGAGCCGAAGGGAAACCGAGUCUUAACUGGGCGUUAAGUUGCAGGGUAUAGACCCGAAACCCGGUGAUCUAGCCAUGGGCAGGUUGAAGGUUGGGUAACACUAACUGGAGGACCGAACCGACUAAUGUUGAAAAAUUAGCGGAUGACUUGUGGCUGGGGGUGAAAGGCCAAUCAAACCGGGAGAUAGCUGGUUCUCCCCGAAAGCUAUUUAGGUAGCGCCUCGUGAAUUCAUCUCCGGGGGUAGAGCACUGUUUCGGCAAGGGGGUCAUCCCGACUUACCAACCCGAUGCAAACUGCGAAUACCGGAGAAUGUUAUCACGGGAGACACACGGCGGGUGCUAACGUCCGUCGUGAAGAGGGAAACAACCCAGACCGCCAGCUAAGGUCCCAAAGUCAUGGUUAAGUGGGAAACGAUGUGGGAAGGCCCAGACAGCCAGGAUGUUGGCUUAGAAGCAGCCAUCAUUUAAAGAAAGCGUAAUAGCUCACUGGUCGAGUCGGCCUGCGCGGAAGAUGUAACGGGGCUAAACCAUGCACCGAAGCUGCGGCAGCGACGCUGAUGCGUUGUUGGGUAGGGGAGCGUUCUGUAAGCCUGCGAAGGUGUGCUGUGAGGCAUGCUGGAGGUAUCAGAAGUGCGAAUGCUGACAUAAGUAACGAUAAAGCGGGUGAAAAGCCCGCUCGCCGGAAGACCAAGGGUUCCUGUCCAACGUUAAUCGGGGCAGGGUGAGUCGACCCCUAAGGCGAGGCCGAAAGGCGUAGUCGAUGGGAAACAGGUUAAUAUUCCUGUACUUGGUGUUACUGCGAAGGGGGGACGGAGAAGGCUAUGUUGGCCGGGCGACGGUUGUCCCGGUUUAAGCGUGUAGGCUGGUUUUCCAGGCAAAUCCGGAAAAUCAAGGCUGAGGCGUGAUGACGAGGCACUACGGUGCUGAAGCAACAAAUGCCCUGCUUCCAGGAAAAGCCUCUAAGCAUCAGGUAACAUCAAAUCGUACCCCAAACCGACACAGGUGGUCAGGUAGAGAAUACCAAGGCGCUUGAGAGAACUCGGGUGAAGGAACUAGGCAAAAUGGUGCCGUAACUUCGGGAGAAGGCACGCUGAUAUGUAGGUGAAGUCCCUCGCGGAUGGAGCUGAAAUCAGUCGAAGAUACCAGCUGGCUGCAACUGUUUAUUAAAAACACAGCACUGUGCAAACACGAAAGUGGACGUAUACGGUGUGACGCCUGCCCGGUGCCGGAAGGUUAAUUGAUGGGGUUAGCGCAAGCGAAGCUCUUGAUCGAAGCCCCGGUAAACGGCGGCCGUAACUAUAACGGUCCUAAGGUAGCGAAAUUCCUUGUCGGGUAAGUUCCGACCUGCACGAAUGGCGUAAUGAUGGCCAGGCUGUCUCCACCCGAGACUCAGUGAAAUUGAACUCGCUGUGAAGAUGCAGUGUACCCGCGGCAAGACGGAAAGACCCCGUGAACCUUUACUAUAGCUUGACACUGAACAUUGAGCCUUGAUGUGUAGGAUAGGUGGGAGGCUUAGAAGUGUGGACGCCAGUCUGCAUGGAGCCGACCUUGAAAUACCACCCUUUAAUGUUUGAUGUUCUAACGUUGACCCGUAAUCCGGGUUGCGGACAGUGUCUGGUGGGUAGUUUGACUGGGGCGGUCUCCUCCUAAAGAGUAACGGAGGAGCACGAAGGUUGGCUAAUCCUGGUCGGACAUCAGGAGGUUAGUGCAAUGGCAUAAGCCAGCUUGACUGCGAGCGUGACGGCGCGAGCAGGUGCGAAAGCAGGUCAUAGUGAUCCGGUGGUUCUGAAUGGAAGGGCCAUCGCUCUACGGAUAAAAGGUACUCCGGGGAUAACAGGCUGAUACCGCCCAAGAGUUCAUAUCGACGGCGGUGUUUGGCACCUCGAUGUCGGCUCAUCACAUCCUGGGGCUGAAGUAGGUCCCAAGGGUAUGGCUGUUCGCCAUUUAAAGUGGUACGCGAGCUGGGUUUAGAACGUCGUGAGACAGUUCGGUCCCUAUCUGCCGUGGGCGCUGGAGAACUGAGGGGGGCUGCUCCUAGUACGAGAGGACCGGAGUGGACGCAUCACUGGUGUUCGGGUUGUCAUGCCAAUGGCACUGCCCGGUAGCUAAAUGCGGAAGAGAUAAGUGCUGAAAGCAUCUAAGCACGAAACUUGCCCCGAGAUGAGUUCUCCCUGACCCUUUAAGGGUCCUGAAGGAACGUUGAAGACGACGACGUUGAUAGGCCGGGUGUGUAAGCGCAGCGAUGCGUUGAGCUAACCGGUACUAAUGAACCGUGAGGCUUAACCU